Molecule: ribosomal RNA, 379 nt
Filed under: uncultured organism
Description: partial 16S ribosomal RNA
Rfam family: Bacterial small subunit ribosomal RNA
Source: RNAcentral
GGAGGGGGGGCUAGCGUUGUUCGGAAUUACUGGGCGUAAAGCGCGCGUAGGCGGGACCUGCAAGUCGGGGGGGGGUGAAAGCCCGAGGGCUCAACCUCGGAACUGCCUUCGAUACUGCGGGUCUCGAGUCCGGGAGAGGUGAGUGGAAUUCCUAGUGUAGAGGUGAAAUUCGUAGAUGUUAGGAAGAACACCAGUGGCGAAGGCGGCUCACUGGCCCGGUACUGACGCUGAGGCGCGAAAGCGUGGGGAGCAAACAGGAUUAGAUACCCUGGUAGUCCACGCCGUAAACUAUGGGUGCUAGCCGUCGGUCGGCAUGCCGGUCGGUGGCGCAGCAAACGCAUUAAGCACCCCGCCUGGGGAGUACGGUCGCAAAGAUUAA